UAGUAAAUUAGUAGUUUAAAGUCAGAGUUGGUAUUCAGACACAAUUGUCAUCUUCCAGGAAAUCUUAACUUAAACAACUGAUUAAGAAUCAGCUCAAAACACAUGCUCCCAGGAUGACAUCAGGGGAUGAUGCUCAUCAUAAUCUGUGGGUUUUUUAGUCACUUUAUGAGUUUUUCACACGUCAUUUUUGGUAUGUUAGGUUUUUGCUCCAGCAGUGAGUGGAGAUGCAACACUGUGAUUAUUUCGACUACUGGGGCAAAGGGACUGAAGUCACAGUAACAGAUACUACAACUGCAUCACCGACUCUGUUCCCUUUGGUUCAGUGCAGUUCUGGGUCUGCAGAUCAAAUCACUGUUGGCUGUCUUGCACAAGACUUCUACCCAAAGGGUCUUACUUUUCAGUGGACAGAUGCCAGUGGGACCAACCAGACUGCUGUACAAUAUCCUCCAGCUGAGAAAAACAACAAAUAUACAAGAGUCAGUUUGCUCACUGUAUCAAAAUCUGAAUGGGAUUCAAAGAGCUAUACUUGUUCUGUGACUCACCCCGGAGGCUCCAGAACCGUGAAACUGUUAAAAGCUUCCCCACCACGCACAGUGGACUCAUCGUCUGUCAAAAUGCAACUGAACGUCUCAAGUGUCAAAGAUAUUGUUAACAACAAACAGGCAGCGUUGAAGUGUAUCAUUACUGGACAGGACCAGAAUGUUGUAAAUCAAAUUCAAAUCAGUUGGCAAAUCGAUGGAUCCCCUGUGACCAAGAACAUCCAAACAACGCAGACGGCAGGCAGCAGAGUCAGCACAAUGAUUGUUACCCGCGAUGAGUGGAUAAGAUUCAAAGAGGUGCGCUGUUCUGCCACGAAAGACGGCAUGACACCAGUUGAUCAAGAGCUGACUCUCCACAAAGGAGAGCCAAAAGUAACAGUCCACGUCCUCCAAGAGGUGGACAUCAAAAAUGAGGUCACUCUGGUGUGUCUGGUCUCCAGUCCGGUGCAGCAGGAUUACUACAUCACCUGGUUAGAACAAGAUGGAACAAACCCUUCCAACUAUGUUGAUGGCACUAACUUCCCCCCAGUGAAGUCCCAACAAGGAUAUUCAGUUGCAAGUGUUUACACCACCACCAAGGACAAGUGGGACAAUUCCUACAAUUUCUCCUGCCGGACAUUUUCUGGUGGUGUCGAACACCCUACAAUAGCCAGUGCAUCUAAUGCCCACAGUAACUCCAUUGAACAUUUUACUCCAGAAUCAAACCUGAGUUUUGCUCUGAGCUGCACAGAUGAAGCCUUUGAGGAGGAAGAGUACAGCAGCCUUUGGUCCACAGCCUUCUCCUUCAUAAUCCUCUUCAUAUCCUCUCUUCUCUAUUGCAUGAUAAUCAGCCUGGUCAAGAUGAAGAGAACAUAAAGGAUGAGAUGGAUGCACAGCAUGAGAAUGACAGGUCUCAUUUGUUUUUUUGUCUUUUUUAACUAGUUUUAAAUACCAUGUACAAUCGAAAAAAAUCGAUAAUCUACCUUAUAUUUGCCAGAUAAAAUGGUCAUCAUAUAUAAUGAUUAAGUCAUUGAAAAUGGAUUUAUCUGUAACCUGUAGAAGAAAUAAUAAAUACAAUUGCAAUUCUUAA
Molecule: non-coding RNA, 1608 nt
Organism: Etheostoma spectabile (orangethroat darter)
Lineage: Eukaryota; Metazoa; Chordata; Actinopteri; Perciformes; Percidae
Source: the annotation of a RefSeq genome assembly